UCCUAGUUACCAAUGCGCCCGUACCGCAAACCGACACUGGUGGGUGAUGGUGAGAACCAUAAGGGGAUCGGGAGAACCUUCGUUAAGGAACUCGGCAAAUUAGAUCCGUAACUUCGGGAGAAGGAUCGCCUUCGGCUGUGUACCGACUCGCUCGGGAAGCAGCUGGAGGCCGCAGUGAGCAGGCCCAGGCGACUGUUUAUCAAAAUCACAGGUCUCUGCAAAAGCGAAAGCUGACGUAUAGGGGCUGACGCCUGCCCAGUGCCGGAAGGUUAAGAGGAGAGGUUAACGCUUUGAAUUGAAGCCCCGGUGAACGGCGGCCGUAACUAUAACGGUCCUAAGGUAGCGAAAUUCCUUGUCGGGUAAGUUCCGACCCGCACGAAAGGCGUAACGAUCUGGGCACUGUCUCGACGAAGGACCCGGCGAAAUUGAAUUGACCGUGAAGAUGCGGUUGACCCGUGGCAGGACAAAAAGACCCCGUGGAGCUUUACUGCAGUUUGGUACUGGGAGUGGGUCUGAGAUGCGUAGGAUAGGUGGGAGGCUUUGAAGCCGGUCUUUCGGGACUGGUGGAGCCAACCUUGAAAUACCACCCUUCUCUGAUCUGCUUUCUAACUCGCGAGCAAGCGUGAGGACAGUGUCUGAUGGGCAGUUUGACUGGGGCGGUCGCCUCCUAAAAUGUAACGGAGGCGCACAAAGGUCCCCUCAGGGUGGAUGGAAAUCACCCGUUGAGUGCAUUGGCAUAAGGGGGCUUGACUGUGAGACCUACAAGUCGAGCAGGGACGAAAGUCGGUCAAAGUGAUCCUACGGUACCGAGUGGAAGGGCCGUGGCUUAACGGAUAUAAGCUACCCCGGGGAUAACAGCUUAUCUUGCCCAAGCGUCCACAGCGACGGCAAGGUUUGGCACCUCGAUGUCGGCUCGUCGCAUCCUGGGGCUGGAGUAGGUCCCAAGGGUUGGGCUGUUCGCCCAUUAAAGCGGUACGCGAGCUGGGUUCAGAACGUCGUGAGACAGUUCGGUCUCUAUCCGCCAUGGGCGUAGGAAGUUUGAGAGGAUUUGCCCCUAGUACGAGAGGACCGGGGUGAACGAACCUCUGGUGUGCGGGUUGUUCCGCCAGGAGCAUUGCCCGGUAGCCAUGUUCGGAUCGGAUAAGCGCUGAAACCAUCUAAGUGCGAAGCCGACCUCAAGAUGAGACUUCCCACCGAGUUAAUCGGGUAAGACCACAGGAAGACUACCUGUUUGAUAGG
This 1239-nucleotide ribosomal RNA is filed under the name metagenome. Its description in RNAcentral is "bacterial LSU rRNA". It matches the Rfam family "Bacterial large subunit ribosomal RNA", at positions 1624 to 2860 of the family's 2925-position model. The record is from RNAcentral.